This 93-nucleotide ribosomal RNA is filed under the name Fasciola hepatica (liver fluke). RNAcentral describes it as "partial 5.8S ribosomal RNA". It matches the Rfam family "5.8S ribosomal RNA", at positions 65 to 154 of the family's 154-position model. Rfam says of the family: 5.8S ribosomal RNA (5.8S rRNA) is a component of the large subunit of the eukaryotic ribosome. The record is from RNAcentral. Lineage: Eukaryota; Metazoa; Platyhelminthes; Trematoda; Plagiorchiida; Fasciolidae.
AUGCAAACUGCAUACUGCUUUGAACAUCGACAUCUUGAACGCAUAUUGCGGCCAUGGGUUAGCCUGUGGCCACGCCUGUCCGAGGGUCGGCUU